Molecule: transfer RNA, 77 nt
Filed under: Opitutaceae bacterium
Lineage: Bacteria; Pseudomonadati; Verrucomicrobiota; Opitutia; Opitutales; Opitutaceae
Also listed under: 2 other names
Description: tRNA-Arg
Rfam family: tRNA
About the family: Transfer RNA (tRNA) molecules are approximately 80 nucleotides in length. Their secondary structure includes four short double-helical elements and three loops (D, anti-codon, and T loops).
Source: RNAcentral
GCACUGUUAGCUCAAUUGGAUAGAGCACCUGACUACGAAUCAGGAGGUUGGGGGUUCGAUUCCCUCACAGUGUACCA